AGGGGCAGCAUGGUCUUAGCUUGCUAAGGCCGAUGGCGACCGGCGCACGGGUGAGUAACGCGUAUGCAACCUGCCCGAUACCGGGGUAUAGCCCAUGGAAACGUGGAUUAACACCCCAUAGUACUUUUAUCCUGCCUGGGAUGUGAGUUAAAUGUUCAAGGUAUCGGAUGGGCAUGCGUCCUAUUAGUUAGUUGGCGGGGUAACAGCCCACCAAGACGAUGAUAGGUAGGGGUUCUGAGAGGAAGGUCCCCACAUUGGAACUGAGACACGGUCCAAACUCC
RNAcentral lists this ribosomal RNA (281 nucleotides) under uncultured Bacteroidota bacterium. RNAcentral describes it as "uncultured Bacteroidetes bacterium partial 16S ribosomal RNA". It matches the Rfam family "Bacterial small subunit ribosomal RNA", at positions 65 to 339 of the family's 1533-position model. The record is from RNAcentral. Lineage: Bacteria; Pseudomonadati; Bacteroidota.